This is a long non-coding RNA of Calypte anna (Anna's hummingbird), 656 nucleotides long. RefSeq lists it as uncharacterized. NCBI's taxonomy places the organism in Eukaryota, Metazoa, Chordata, Aves, Apodiformes, Trochilidae. The record is from RefSeq and is a predicted model, not a curated record. The transcript is spliced from 3 exons.
GGUGGCUUUCUGCUGCUGGAGGAUGAAAAUACACCCAGGGCAGGGCUAUGAGGUGGCAGUGACAGCCAUCCCCAUGGUGGUUCCUGCUGCUGGCAAUGAGAUGUUGCCACCCAGCACCUUCCCCGUGGGCUGAGCACCCAGCACCAGGCACCUGGAUGCAGCCACCAGGCUGGAGGGUGCUGGGGGCUGGGAUGGAAAGGCAGAGACAUCCCUGAGGGCUGGAAGCAGAGCACGUCCUGGUCCUCAGCUGCCCAUGGAGCAUCCUCACCCCAGGGACACCUGGAUGCUCCUUCUCAGCCUGGAGAAGUGAUUCUCAUGGAUGAAAUGGCUCCAGCACUCAAAGCUGCUCACCAGUGAGCCCCAGUCACAGUCAUGGGGGGACAGCACCAGGGAUGGAGCUCGGAUGCAGCUCAAGGACCUUUCAGAGGCUUUUUUGGUGCUGACCCCAGGUUCCUGCCAGCUCCCAAGCAGGAGGGAUUCCCCUACAGACCCUCCCAAAGACCAAAAGGUGAUCACACCCCCUUGGAAAUAUUUUCCUGGGAGUGUUUUCCAUCCAUCAUCAGUUGUGAUCCACUCCUUUCUCCCUUGCCACGAAGAGGCAGCUUUAGCCUGACACCAUUUGAUGUAUAAAUCUGUAAAUGUUGUACAUAAAAGAA